This 470-nucleotide ribosomal RNA is filed under the name uncultured Glomus. Its description in RNAcentral is "SSU rRNA". It matches the Rfam family "Eukaryotic small subunit ribosomal RNA", at positions 569 to 1042 of the family's 1831-position model. The record is from RNAcentral. Lineage: Eukaryota; Fungi; Glomeromycota; Glomeromycetes; Glomerales; Glomeraceae.
AGCAGCCGCGGUAAUUCCAGCUCCAAUAGCGUAUAUUAAAGUUGUUGCAGUUAAAAAGCUCGUAGUUGAAUUUCGGGGUUAGUAGGUUGGUCAUGCCUCUGGUAUGUACUGGUCUCACUGAUUCCUCCUUCCUGAUGAGCCGUAAUGCCAUUAAUUUGGUGUUGCGGGGAAUUUGGACUGUUACUUUGAAAAAUUAGAGUGUUUAAAGCAAGCUAACGCUUGAAUACAUUAGCAUGGAAUAAUGAAAUAGGACGUUCGAUCCUAUUUUGUUGGUUUCUAGGAUUGACGUAAUGAUUAAUAGGGAUAGUUGGGGGCAUUAGUAUUCAAUUGUCAGAGGUGAAAUUCUUGGAUUUAUUGAAGACUAACUACUGCGAAAGCAUUUGCCAAGGAUGUUUUCAUUAAUUACAAGAACGAAAGUUAGGGGAUCGAAGACGAUCAGAUACCGUCGUAGUCUUAACCAUAAACUAUAG